UUCCGGUUGAUCCUGCCGGAGGUCACUGCUAUUGGGAUUCGAUUAAGCCAUGCGAGUCGAGAGGGUUCGGCCCUCGGCUGACGGCUCAGUAACACGUGGAUAAUCUGCCCUUAGGUGGAGGAUAACCUCGGGAAACUGAGAAUAAUACUCCAUAGAUCUAGGAGGCUGGAAUGCAUCCAGAUCGAAAGCUUCGGCGCCUAAGGAUGAGUCCGCGGACUAUCAGGUUGUAGUCAGGGUAAAGACCUGACUAGCCAACGACGGAUACGGGUUGUGAGAGCAAUAACCCGGAGACGAUAUCUGAGACACGAUAUCGGGCCCUACGGGGCGCAGCAGGCGCGAAAACUUCACACUGUGCGAAAGCACGAUGAGGGGAUCCCAAGUGCUGGUUCGAAAGAGUCAGCUGUUUCAUUGUCUAAAAAACAGAGAGAGUAAGAGCUGGGUAAGACGGGUGCCAGCCGCCGCGGUAAUACCUGCAGCUCGAGUGGUGGCCGCUAUUAUUGGGCCUAAAACGUCCGUAGCCGGUUUAGUAAAUGCCUGGGUAAAUCGUGUAGCUUAACUAUACGAAUUCCGGGUAGACUGCUAGACUUGAGAUCGGGAGAAGCUAGAGGUACUCCUGGGGUAGAGGUGAAAUUCUGUAAUCCUAGGGGGACCACCAGUGGCGAAGGCGUCUAGCUAGAACGAGUCUAACGGUGAGGGACGAAGCCCUGGGGCGCAAACCGGAUUAGAUACCCGGGUAGUCCAGGGUGUAAACGCUGCUUGCUUGAUGUUAGUUGGGCUCCGAGCCCAACUAGUGUCGGAGAGAAGUUGUUAAGCAAGCUGCCUGGGAAGUACGAUCGCAAGAUUGAAACUUAAAGGAAUUGGCGGGGGAGCACAGCAACGGGUGGAGCGUGCGGUUUAAUUGGAUUCAACGCCGGA
RNAcentral lists this ribosomal RNA (915 nucleotides) under uncultured archaeon. RNAcentral describes it as "bacterial SSU rRNA". It matches the Rfam family "Archaeal small subunit ribosomal RNA", at positions 1 to 922 of the family's 1478-position model. The record is from RNAcentral.